RNAcentral lists this ribosomal RNA (358 nucleotides) under Escherichia coli. Its description in RNAcentral is "partial 23S ribosomal RNA". It matches the Rfam family "Bacterial large subunit ribosomal RNA", at positions 1917 to 2274 of the family's 2925-position model. Lineage: Bacteria; Pseudomonadati; Pseudomonadota; Gammaproteobacteria; Enterobacterales; Enterobacteriaceae. The record is from RNAcentral.
GCCCCGGUAAACGGCGGCCGUAACUAUAACGGUCCUAAGGUAGCGAAAUUCCUUGUCGGGUAAGUUCCGACCUGCACGAAUGGCGUAAUGAUGGCCAGGCUGUCUCCACCCGAGACUCAGUGAAAUUGAACUCGCUGUGAAGAUGCAGUGUACCCGCGGCAAGACGGAAAGACCCCGUGAACCUUUACUAUAGCUUGACACUGAACAUUGAGCCUUGAUGUGUAGGAUAGGUGGGAGGCUUUGAAGUGUGGACGCCAGUCUGCAUGGAGCCGACCUUGAAAUACCACCCUUUAAUGUUUGAUGUUCUAACGUUGGCCCGUAAUCCGGGUUGCGGACAGUGUCUGGUGGGUAGUUUGAC